GGUGGAGGAGGGACGCGCUGGAAACGCGAUCCGGGCGCUGAGCAAGUUCGAGAAAAUUUUGGAAUUUUGCCACGGAGGAGAAAAACGAGGAGAUCCCGAUGAUUUUAAAUUCCUUUUUAUUGAGAUUCUGGAAGUGGCGAUGAAAAUUCCCGGGAAAUAACUUUGGCACGGGGGAGAGGAGCAGGAAAAGGAGGAGAAGAGGAGGAGGAGGAGGAAAAAACCUCGGCCAAGUUCAAUAAAAUUUUGGAAUUUUGCCACGGAGGAGUAGAAAGAGGAGGAGGAGCAGGAGGAGGAGGAGGAGAUCCCGAUGAUUUUAAAUUCCUUUUUAUUGAGAUUCUGGAAGUGGCGAUGAAAAUUCCUGGGAAAUAACUUUGGCACGGAGGAGGAGGAGGAGGAGGAGGAGGAGGAGGAGGAGGAGGAAGAGGAGGAGAAAACCUCGGCCAAGUUCAAUAAAGUUUUGGAAUUUUGCCACGAAGGAGAGGAGCAGAAAAAGGAGGAGAAGAGGAGGAGGAGGAGGAGGAAAAAACCUCGGCCAAGCUCAAUAAAAUUUUGGAAUUUUGCCACGAAGGAGAGGAGCAGAAAGAGGAGAAGAGGAGGAGGAGGAGGAGGAAGAAGAAACCUCGGCCAAGCUCAAUAAAAUUUUGGAAUUUUGCCACGAAGGAGAGGAGCAGAAAGAGGAGAAGAGGAGGAGGAGGAGGAGGAGAAAACCUCGGCCAGGUUCAAUAAAAUUUUGGAAUUUUGCCACGGAGGAGAGGAGCAGAAAGAGGAGGAGAAGAGGAGGAGGAGGAGGAGGAGGAGGAGAAAACCUCGGCCAGGUUCAAUAAAAUUUUGGAAUUUUGCCACGAAGGAGAGGAGCAGAAAGAGGAGAAGAGGAGGAGGAGGAGGAGGAGGAGAAGAGGAGGAGAAAAAGGAGCAGAAAAAGGAGGAGAAGAGGAGGAGGAGGAGGAGGAAAAAACCUCGGCCAGGUUCAAUAAAAUUUUGGAAUUUUGCCACGAAGGAGAGGAGCAGAAAGAGGAGAAGAGGAGGAGGAGGAGGAAGAAGAAACCUCGGCCAAGUUCAAUAAAAUUUUGGAAUUUUGCCACGGAGGAGAGGAGGAGAAAAAGGAGGAGAAGAGGAGGAGGAGGAGGAGAAAACCUCGGCCAAGCUCAAUAAAAUUUUGGAUUUUUGCCACGAAGGAGAGGAGCAGAAAGAGGAGAAGAGGAGGAGGAGGAGGAGGAGGAGGAGGAGAAAACCUCGGCCAAGCUCAAUAAAAUUUUGGAAUUUUGCCA
Molecule: long non-coding RNA, 1268 nt
Filed under: Lonchura striata (white-rumped munia)
Lineage: Eukaryota; Metazoa; Chordata; Aves; Passeriformes; Estrildidae
Description: domestica (Bengalese finch) lncRNA (ENSLSDG00000008361.1)
Source: RNAcentral